UACAGAGGGGGCAAGCGUUGUUCGGAAUUACUGGGCGUAAAGGGCGCGUAGGCGGCCUGCUAAGUCGAACGUGAAAUCCCUGGGCUCAACCCAGGAACUGCGUCCGGUACUGGUUGGCUUGAAUCCGGGAGAGGGAUGUGGAAUUCCAGGUGUAGCGGUGAAAUGCGUAGAUAUCUGGAGGAACACCGGUGGCGAAGGCGGCAUCCUGGACCGGCAUUGACGCUGAGGCGCGAAAGCCAGGGGAGCAAACGGG
RNAcentral lists this ribosomal RNA (253 nucleotides) under uncultured bacterium. RNAcentral describes it as "partial 16S ribosomal RNA". It matches the Rfam family "Bacterial small subunit ribosomal RNA", at positions 524 to 776 of the family's 1533-position model. The record is from RNAcentral.